Molecule: ribosomal RNA, 480 nt
Filed under: uncultured bacterium
Lineage: Bacteria
Description: partial 16S ribosomal RNA
Rfam family: Bacterial small subunit ribosomal RNA
Source: RNAcentral
UAGGGAAUCUUCCACAAUGGACGCAAGUCUGAUGGAGCAACGCCGCGUGAGUGAAGAAGGUUUUCGGACCGUAAAGCUCUGUUGUUGGUGAAGAAGGAUAGAGGUAGUAACUGGCCUUUAUUUGACGGUAAUCAACCAGAAAGUCACGGCUAACUACGUGCCAGCAGCCGCGGUAAUACGUAGGUGGCAAGCGUUGUCCGGAUUUAUUGGGCGUAAAGCGAGCGCAGGCGGAAGAAUAAGUCUGAUGUGAAAGCCCUCGGCUUAACCGAGGAAUUGCAUCGGAAACCGUUUUUCUUGAGUGCAGAAGAGGAGAGUAGAACUCCAUGUGUAGCGGUGGAAUGCGUAGAUAUAUGGAAGAAUACCAGUGGCGAAGGCGGCUCUCUGGUCUGCAACUGACGCUGAGGCUCGAAAGCAUGGGUAGCGAACAGGAUUAGAUACCCUGGUAGUCCAUGCCGUAAACGAUGAGUGCUAAGUGUUGGG